Molecule: transfer RNA, 88 nt
Filed under: Ligilactobacillus agilis
Lineage: Bacteria; Bacillati; Bacillota; Bacilli; Lactobacillales; Lactobacillaceae
Also listed under: 1 other name
Description: tRNA-Ser
Rfam family: tRNA
About the family: Transfer RNA (tRNA) molecules are approximately 80 nucleotides in length. Their secondary structure includes four short double-helical elements and three loops (D, anti-codon, and T loops). Further hydrogen bonds mediate the characteristic L-shaped molecular structure. tRNAs have two regions of fundamental functional importance: the anti-codon, which is responsible for specific mRNA codon recognition, and the 3' end, to which the tRNAs corresponding amino acid is attached (by aminoacyl-tRNA synthetases). tRNAs cope with the degeneracy of the genetic code in two manners: having more than one tRNA (with a specific anti-codon) for a particular amino acid; and 'wobble' base-pairing, i.e. permitting non-standard base-pairing at the 3rd anti-codon position.
Source: RNAcentral
GGAGAAGUACUCAAGUGGCUGAAGAGGUGCCCCUGCUAAGGGUAUAGGUCGGUAACACGGCGCGAGGGUUCAAAUCCCUCCUUCUCCG